Molecule: ribosomal RNA, 253 nt
Filed under: uncultured bacterium
Lineage: Bacteria
Description: partial 16S ribosomal RNA
Rfam family: Bacterial small subunit ribosomal RNA
Source: RNAcentral
UACGGGGGGGGCAAGCGUUGUUCGGAAUUACUGGGCGUAAAGGGCUCGUAGGCGGCCAACUAAGUCAGACGUGAAAUCCCUCGGCUUAACCGGGGAACUGCGUCUGAUACUGGUUGGCUUGAAUCCGGGAGAGGGAUGUGGAAUUCCAGGUGUAGCGGUGAAAUGCGUAGAUAUCUGGAGGAACACCGGUGGCGAAGGCGGGUCUCUGGACAGUUCCUGACGCUGAGGCACGAAGGCCAGGGGAGCAAACGGG